GGGAAAACCUGAGUAAGCAAAGUGCAGAUGAGGAGAGUUUUAACAUUGAUCAUUCCUUUGUGAGGCUGAAGAAGAAUUUUGGAAGAGCAUGAGAGGAGCACUUGGUGUUCAGAGUAUUCACCAGCGUCAGCUGCUCCUUUGAUAAGGCAGAUGGAUGAUGUUGCUGCUGCUGCCCCUGG
Molecule: long non-coding RNA, 179 nt
Organism: Lemur catta (Ring-tailed lemur)
Lineage: Eukaryota; Metazoa; Chordata; Mammalia; Primates; Lemuridae
Exons: 3
Source: RefSeq, a predicted model, not a curated record